Molecule: ribosomal RNA, 800 nt
Filed under: uncultured bacterium
Lineage: Bacteria
Description: bacterial SSU rRNA
Rfam family: Bacterial small subunit ribosomal RNA
Source: RNAcentral
UAGCGGGAGGCCUAACACAUGCAAGUCGAGCGGGAAUGGCAGCAAUGCCAUGAGAGCGGCGCACGGGUGAGUAACGCGUAUGCAACCUGCCUUAAACAGGGGGAUAGCCCAUGGAAACGUGGAUUAAUACCCCAUAUUAUUAUUUAUCCGCAUGGAUUUAUAAUCAAAGCUCCGGCGGUUUAAGAUGGGCAUGCGUGACAUUAGUUAGUUGGUGAGGUAACGGCUCACCAAGACAACGAUGUCUAGGGGUUCUGAGAGGAUGAUCCCCCACACUGGUACUGAGACACGGACCAGACUCCUACGGGAGGCAGCAGUAAGGAAUAUUGGUCAAUGGGCGCAAGCCUGAACCAGCCAUGCCGCGUGCAGGAAGACGGCCCUAUGGGUUGUAAACUGCUUUUGUCAGGGAAUAAACCUGUCUACGUGUAGGCAGCUGAAGGUACCUGAAGAAUAAGCAUCGGCUAACUCCGUGCCAGCAGCCGCGGUAAUACGGAGGAUGCAAGCGUUAUCCGGAUUCAUUGGGUUUAAAGGGUGCGCAGGCGGAUUGAUAAGUCAGGGGUGAAAUCACUCAGCUUAACUGAGUAACUGCCAUUGAUACUGUUAGUCUAGAAUAUAAAUGGUGCAGGCGGAAUGAAUCAUGUAGAGGUGACAUUCAUAGAUAUGAUUCAGAACACCGAUCGCGAAGGCAGCUUGCAAAGAUAUUAUUGACGCUGAGGCACGAAAGCGUGGGUAGCGAACAGGAUUAGAUACCCUGGUAGUCCACGCUGUAAACGAUGAUAACUCGUUGUCGGCGAUACACAGUC